CGAUUAGUGAAUAUUUGGAUUGGAUUGAUCACCAGGCCAUCGAUCAUAAGAGCAAAAAGAGAUUUAAAGAUCUUCUCUUUCUAUUCGAUAGGAUGCUCUUAUGGCGUGUAAGGGUGCCAUAUGAUUUAAUUCUAUGAAGAAGAAAGCGAAAGAAAGAACUUACCUUUCUACAAAAUCCUAGAUGUUGGAAUCCUAGGAGUUGUUGUAUGUGAUACAAAGC
Molecule: long non-coding RNA, 220 nt
Filed under: Elaeis guineensis (African oil palm)
Lineage: Eukaryota; Viridiplantae; Streptophyta; Magnoliopsida; Arecales; Arecaceae
Description: long non-coding RNA (EGUI_LNC077824)
Source: RNAcentral